CAUCUCUUGCAUUCUUGUCAAUAAACACUCAUUUGAAUUCACGAAUCUCCAUCGACCCUGAACAAGAGCUAUUUCGGGGUUAUGUAUAAGGAACGGAAUCGACCUACGGAGAAAAUCCGGUUCGGGUCGAAAAUCGGCAUCGAAAAUGACAACGUAUUCGCAAUCUUUAACAUAAUUAUGUUUUAAUCCUUCUUUAAGUGCACCAGCUUUGUAUCCUCCUCUUGUUUCUCUAAUUUGAUACGUUAUAUUAAGUCCUUUACUUGCCCAUCUUAAACAUUCAGUUUCAACCAUAUCCUUAACAAUAGGAUCAGUAGAAUCAUCAAGAACUUGAAUCACAAGGCGAUCGGACGGCCACGAAAGGUUACACGCAGCUCCAAUGGAAAUCUUAUACACCUCUUUCUCAUUGAACAUGGGAAUUUGUACAAGAACUUUAGGAAAAUCAGCACUUCCAAUUUCCAAAUCAUCAUCAGCCAUUGGUAUCCAUUUAUACCUUUUAUCUGGUUUUUUCAUAAAAAUCUUAACAAGAACAAUGACUAUUCCCAUAUAUAAUCUUUCAACAAAUAACAUUAAUUCCAUUACUAUGCAAAUGUACACUGCUGAUUUCAACAAUGGUACUAAUAAUGGUGCUUUCAACACUUCCCACAUCAUCCCAAUUUGCCCCGCUAUGUCCGAGGCAGUUGCUUGAACAGUCGACAUAGCGGCGGCCAAAAAAAAUUAUAACAAGUUAAAUUACACUGAUAAUAUAAAAUAAUACUGCUCUGUUAUAUUUGAUGAUCGAAUUUAAUUCGGUCCGUCGAUAAAAAAAAAACAAACAGAGCAGUAUUAUGACAUUGUAGAGAGGGG
This 843-nucleotide unclassified non-coding RNA is filed under the name Hevea brasiliensis (rubber tree). The record is from RNAcentral. Lineage: Eukaryota; Viridiplantae; Streptophyta; Magnoliopsida; Malpighiales; Euphorbiaceae.